Molecule: long non-coding RNA, 865 nt
Filed under: Capsicum annuum
Lineage: Eukaryota; Viridiplantae; Streptophyta; Magnoliopsida; Solanales; Solanaceae
Description: long non-coding RNA (CANN_LNC016715)
Source: RNAcentral
AUAACACAAUAAGAACUGCAACAAAACUGUUACAACCUUAGGAGAACUGCACCCCAAAAGCUAGCUAUUAAGGUGGGAAAGCCCAGGGCUAUAAAUACUCCACAACAAUACUUUGUAGUAUCGAUGUGGGACUUUGCAAUGGAUCAUAACAAACCACCACGCUCCGCAUCCGUCGUCCUUUGCAAUGGAUCAUAACAAACCACCACGCUCCGCAUCCGUCGUCAUCCACGGCUCCACUCCAGGUAGCUUUCACUCUACUUAUGUAGGUAGCUCUUUCCCAGGUAGCCCUUUUCGAGUCAGGUACCCAGGUGCCUCGAUGGUUGUGCGCUAAACAUUGGUAGCCCGGCCGAACACUGCCAUAUCGACAUCACCAUCCUAGGCACGGUGGGCGCGAAGGGUGAUGGGUGGCUCUGAUACCACUAUUACAACCUUAGGAGAACCGCACCCCAAUAGCUAGCUAUUAAGGUGGGAGAGCCCAAGGCUAUAAAUACCCCACAACAAUACUUUGUAGUACCGAUGUGGGACUUUGCAAUGGAUCAUAACAAAAACAACACAAUAAUCGAGCUCCAAAGAACAACAUAACAGUAAACAAUAACAAAACGAAAACUACAACAAAACAACACGAUAAUCGAGCUCCAAAGAACAUCAUAAACAACACAAUAAUCGAGCUCCAAAGAACAACAUAACAAUAAACAAUAACACAACAAAAACUACAACAAAACAACACGAUAAUCGAGCUCCAAAGAACAUCAUAUAUAAUAACAAAAUAAUAACACAAAGAACAACAUAACAAUAAACAAUAACACAACAAAAACUACAACAAAACAACACGAUAAUCGAGCUCCAAAGAACAUCAUAUAUAAUA